CCUACGGGAGGCUGCAGUGAGGAAUAUUGGUCAAUGGACGAGAGUCUGAACCAGCCAAGUAGCGUGAAGGCUGACUGCCCUAUGGUUUUUAAACUUCUUUUAUAUGGGAAUGAAAUGUUCCACGUGUGGGAUUUUGUAUGUACCAUAUGACUAAGGAUCGGCUACCUCCGUGCCAGCAGCGUCGGUAAUACGGAGGAUCCGAGCGUUAUCAGGAUUUCUUGGGGUUAAAGGGAGUGUAGAUGGAGUGUUAAGUCAGUGGUGAAAGUUUGCGGCUCAACCGUAAAAUUGCAGUUGAAACUGGCAGUCUUGAGUACAGUAGAGGUGGGCGGAAUACGUGGUGUAGCGGUGAAAGGCUUAGAUAUCACGAAGAACUCCGAUGGCGAAGGCAGUUCACUGGACUGCAACUGACACUGAGGCUCGAAAGUGUGGGUAUCAAACAGGAUUAGAUACCCCAGUAGUC
Molecule: ribosomal RNA, 460 nt
Filed under: uncultured bacterium
Lineage: Bacteria
Description: partial 16S ribosomal RNA
Rfam family: Bacterial small subunit ribosomal RNA
Source: RNAcentral